RNAcentral lists this non-coding RNA (22 nucleotides) under Arabidopsis thaliana (thale cress). The record is from RNAcentral. Lineage: Eukaryota; Viridiplantae; Streptophyta; Magnoliopsida; Brassicales; Brassicaceae.
GCAGCCUUAGGGGGUGGAGUGA